Molecule: long non-coding RNA, 287 nt
Organism: Gadus morhua (Atlantic cod)
Lineage: Eukaryota; Metazoa; Chordata; Actinopteri; Gadiformes; Gadidae
Exons: 2
Source: RefSeq, a predicted model, not a curated record
UGCAAUUGUAACAAUUCUUCACCUCCCACAGAUUAUUAAUAAUGUCUUGGUAAUUGCUGAACACAACCGUCAAUGUCAUUACAGGAAGAUGAUGGAGAAAAAUUGUCUGCGGCAUUCAAAAGGGAAGAGGAAAGGCCUAUUGAGGAUGAAAUCGAAUCCAAUGAGAGGCCAUCCACUUCUAAAUCACAGCUUACCUCUGUAAGAUUCUCCCUGGAAUUAUAAUGAAACGCUCUACUUGGCACUGUGAAAUCCAAUGUCAUCUUUUGCAUUCCUAUAGCUUCCAGUCA